Molecule: ribosomal RNA, 460 nt
Filed under: uncultured bacterium
Lineage: Bacteria
Description: partial 16S ribosomal RNA
Rfam family: Bacterial small subunit ribosomal RNA
Source: RNAcentral
CCUACGGGAGGCAGCAGUGAGGAAUAUUGGUCAAUGGACGAGAGUCUGAACCAGCCAAGUAGCGUGAAGGAUGACUGCCCUAUGGGUUGUAAACUUCUUUUAUAUGGGAAUAAACUGUUCCACGUGUGGGAUUUUGUAUGUACAAUAUGAAUAAGGAUCGGCUAACUCCGUGCCAGCAGCCGCGGUAAUACGGAGGAUCCGAGCGUUAUCCGGAUUUAUUGGGUUUAAAGGGAGCGUAGGUGGAUUGUUAAGUCAGUUGUGAAAGUUUGCGGCUCAACCGUAAAAUUGCAGUUGAAACUGGCAGUCUUGAGUACAGUAGAGGUGGGCGGAAUUCGUGGUGUAGCGGUGAAAUGCUUAGAUAUCACGAAGAACUCCGAUUGCGAAGGCAGUUCACUGGACUGCAACUGACACUGAGGCUCGAAAGUGUGGGUAUCAAACAGGAUUAGAUACCCCUGUAGUC